UCAACUGGGAGAGAGACACAGAGAACUGAGCUUCAACUGGGAGAGAGACACAGGGAACUGAGCUUCAACUGGGAGAGAGACACAGGGAACUAGACACUGCUAAAUUAAAACCAACCAAGCGCCCGCCUACACACACACACGCUCGCGCGCGCCCGCCUACACGCACGCGCAGCACGCCUAAACACCCAAACACACACGCGCCCGCCUACACACCCAAACGAGUCCAUGUCCACCUACACACACACGCGUGCGCCCGCCUACACACACGCGUACACGCGGUCACCUCACUCAAAACGUAUUUUUUGGGAAGCUAAAACCCUGAUUUGAUCAAACAGUAUGCCUAGGGUUGCACAUUUUGGGUAAUAAUCAUAGGACGAAACUUUCCAUUGGAAAUUAACAGGAAUAUAUGGGAAUUAAUAUUAAUACCAUUUAAAUGUAGAUGUUUUUUGCAUUGGAUAUAUUCACCAUAUCAUACGGAGACAGAAACAAACCGUUUACCUUAUCACAAGUCGACAUAAUUGCAAAUUAUGAAAUCCUUCCAAUAUAAAUUUUUACAACUAUUUAGUUAAGAAUUGAACUUUAAUUAAAUGAGUUGACUGUUCACAUGGGAUGAUUUCACUGAACAACAAAAGGGAAUAUUGAAUGAUCCAUCGCAUCUCCCAAAAACGUUUUCAACAUAUAGUACUGUGCAAAAGUUUUAGGCAGGUGUGAAAAAAUGCCGUAAAGUAAGAAUGCUUUCAAAAAUAAACAUGAUAAUAGUUUAUAUUUAUCAAUUAACAAAAUGCAAAGUGAGUGAACAGAAGAAAAAACUACAUCAAAUCAAUAUUUGGUGUGACCACCCUUUGCCUUCAAAACAGCAUCAAUUCUUCACUUGCACACAGUUUUUGAAGGAACUCGGCAGGUAGGUUGGCCCAAACAUCUUGGAGAACUAACCACAGUUCUUCUGUGGAUUUAGGCAGCCUCAUGUGCUUCUCUCUCUGUAAUCCCAGACAGACUCAAUGAUGUUGAGAUCAGGGCUCUGUGGGGGCCAUACCAUCACUUCCAGGACUCCUUCAUCGUCUUUACGCUGAAGAUGGUUCUUAACCUCUUAUGGCUCAAAAAUCAGCAUAGGAACUGGACUACGCUCCUGGAAAACACUCGUUAUAGACGUGAUGCGACGCAAGAAUUUUGUCAAGACGGAGAGGUUAGCACGGCAUGGCCAGUGUGCCAUGCUAAUUCAACAGGGACAUCGUUCGUUCUAGGUCCAAAUGAACACGGUUCUGAACAAAGGACCCUUUGGAGAACAUUCUGAUGGAAAAUCAACAAAGAUAAGGACCCAAUUUGGGAUGCUUUUUCAUAUAUCUGUCGAACUGUGC
Salvelinus namaycush (lake trout) is the source of this 1355-nucleotide long non-coding RNA. RefSeq lists it as uncharacterized. The transcript has 3 exons. The record is from RefSeq and is a predicted model, not a curated record. Lineage: Eukaryota; Metazoa; Chordata; Actinopteri; Salmoniformes; Salmonidae.